AUUGAACGCUGGCGGCAGGCCUAACACAUGCAAGUCGAGCGGAGCGGCGGACGGGUGAGUAAUGCCUAGGAAUCUGCCUGGUAGUGGGGGAUAACGUCCGGAAACGGGCGCUAAUACCGCAUACUAUCAGAUGAGCCUAGGUCGGAUUAGCUAGAUGUGGGGGUAAAGGCCUACCAAGGCGACGAUCCGUAACUGGUCUGAGAGGAUGAUCAGUACCACGGGAACUUAGACACGGUCCAGAUGCAUACGGGAGGCAGCAGUGGGGAAUAUUGGACAAUGGGCGAAAGCCUGAUCCAGCCAUGCCGCGUGUGGGAAGAAGGUCUUCGGAUUGUAAAGCACGUUAAUUUGGGAGGCGUUACCAACAGAAUAAGCACCGGCUAACUUCGUGCCAGCAGCCGCGGUAAUAC
RNAcentral lists this ribosomal RNA (407 nucleotides) under uncultured bacterium. RNAcentral's name for it is "partial 16S ribosomal RNA". It matches the Rfam family "Bacterial small subunit ribosomal RNA", at positions 30 to 526 of the family's 1533-position model. The record is from RNAcentral.